CAGUAGCCGCGGGAAUACGAAGGGUGCAAGCGUUAAUCGGAAUUACUGGGCGUAAAGCGUGCGUAGGCGGUUUGUUAAGUCUGUUGUGAAAUCCCCGGGCUCAACCUGGGAACUGCAUUUGUGACUGGCAAGCUAGAGUGUGGCAGAGGGGGGUGGAAUUCCGCGUGUAGCAGUGAAAUGCGUAGAUAUGCGGAGGAACACCGAUGGCGAAGGCAGCCCCCUGGGCCAACACUGACGCUCAUGCACGAAAGCGUGGGGAGCAAACAGGAUUAGAUACCCCGGUAGUCCCUGUCUCUUAUAC
Molecule: ribosomal RNA, 301 nt
Filed under: uncultured bacterium
Lineage: Bacteria
Description: partial 16S ribosomal RNA
Rfam family: Bacterial small subunit ribosomal RNA
Source: RNAcentral